This 663-nucleotide ribosomal RNA is filed under the name uncultured fungus. RNAcentral's name for it is "eukaryotic LSU rRNA". It matches the Rfam family "Eukaryotic large subunit ribosomal RNA", at positions 24 to 664 of the family's 3401-position model. The record is from RNAcentral. Lineage: Eukaryota; Fungi.
CCCGCUGAACUUAAGCAUAUCAAUAAGCGGAGGAAAAGAAACUAACAAGGAUUCCCCUAGUAACUGCGAGUGAAGCGGGAAAAGCUCAAAUUUAAAAUCUGGCGGUCUCUGGCCGUCCGAGUUGUAAUCUGGAGAAGCGUUUUCUGCGUUGGACCGUGCACAAGUUUUCUGGAACGGAACGUCAUAGAGGGUGAGAAUCCCGUCUUUGACACGGACUACCGAUGCUAUGUGAUACGCUCUCGAAGAGUCGAGUUGUUUGGGAAUGCAGCUCAAAAUGGGUGGUAAAUUCCAUCUAAAGCUAAAUAUUGGCGAGAGACCGAUAGCGAACAAGUACCGUGAGGGAAAGAUGAAAAGCACUUUGGAAAGAGAGUUAAACAGUACGUGAAAUUGUUGAAAGGGAAACGUUUGAAGUCAGUCGCGUCGGCCGAGACUCAACCUUACUUAUGUUUGGUGCACUUCUCGGUGGACGGGUCAACAUCAAUUUCGGUCGUCGGAUAAAGGCCUGGGGAAUGUGGCAUCUUUCGGGAUGUGUUAUAGCCCUGGGUUCAGAUACGACGGUUGGGAUUGAGGAACUCAGCACGCCUUUUAUGGUCGGGGUUCGCCCACGUCAACGUGCUUAGGAUGUUGGCAUAAUGGCUUUAAGCGACCCGUCUUGAAACACGG